RNAcentral lists this ribosomal RNA (253 nucleotides) under uncultured bacterium. RNAcentral's name for it is "partial 16S ribosomal RNA". It matches the Rfam family "Bacterial small subunit ribosomal RNA", at positions 524 to 776 of the family's 1533-position model. The record is from RNAcentral.
UACGGAGGGAGCUAGCGUUGUUCGGAAUUACUGGGCGUAAAGCGCGCGUAGGCGGCUUUGUAAGUUAGAGGUGAAAGCCCGGGGCUCAACCCCGGAACUGCCUUUAAGACUGCAUCGCUUGAAUCCGGAAGAGGUGAGUGGAAUUCCGAGUGUAGAGGUGAAAUUCGUAGAUAUUCGGAAGAACACCAGUGGCGAAGGCGGCUCACUGGACCGGUAUUGACGCUGAGGUGCGAAAGCGUGGGGAGCAAACAGG